Molecule: ribosomal RNA, 478 nt
Filed under: uncultured Planctomycetales bacterium
Lineage: Bacteria; Pseudomonadati; Planctomycetota; Planctomycetia; Planctomycetales
Description: bacterial SSU rRNA
Rfam family: Bacterial small subunit ribosomal RNA
Source: RNAcentral
UUCGCAAUGCCCGAAAGGGUGACGAAGCGACGCCGCGUGUGGGAAGAAGGCCUUCGGGUUGUAAACCACUGUCGGGAGUUAAGAAAUACAAGGAUAUUAAUAGUGUCUUUGUUUGACUAAGGCUCCGGAGGAAGCCACGGCUAACUCUGUGCCAGCAGCCGCGGUAAUACAGAACUGGCGGCAAGCGUUGUUCGGAAUUAUUGGGCGUAAAGAGCACGUAGGCGGCUAUGUAAGUCGGUUGUGAAAGCCUUCCGCUCAACGGAAGAACAGCAUCCGAUACUACAUGGCUUGGAGUGCGGGAGGGGAGAGUGGAACUUCUGGUGGAGCGGUGAAAUGCGUAGAUAUCAGAAGGAACGCCGGCGGCGAAAGCGGCUCUCUGGCCCAUAACUGACGCUGAGUGUGCGAAAGCUAGGGGAGCAAACGGGAUUAGAUACCCCGGUAGUCCUAGCCGUAAACGAUGGGCACUAAGUAGAGGGGA